This 156-nucleotide ribosomal RNA is filed under the name Prunus persica (peach). Its description in RNAcentral is "rRNA 5_8S_rRNA". It matches the Rfam family "5.8S ribosomal RNA". Rfam says of the family: 5.8S ribosomal RNA (5.8S rRNA) is a component of the large subunit of the eukaryotic ribosome. It is transcribed by RNA polymerase I as part of the 45S precursor that also contains 18S and 28S rRNA. The record is from RNAcentral. Lineage: Eukaryota; Viridiplantae; Streptophyta; Magnoliopsida; Rosales; Rosaceae.
GACUCUCGGCAACGGAUAUCUCGGCUCUCGCAUCGAUGAAGAACGUAGCGAAAUGCGAUACUUGGUGUGAAUUGCAGAAUCCCGUGAACCAUCGAGUCUUUGAACGCAAGUUGCGCUCGAAGCCACUAGGCCGAGGGCACGCCUGCCUGGGCGUCA